RNAcentral lists this ribosomal RNA (432 nucleotides) under uncultured bacterium. RNAcentral describes it as "partial 16S ribosomal RNA". It matches the Rfam family "Bacterial small subunit ribosomal RNA", at positions 29 to 507 of the family's 1533-position model. The record is from RNAcentral.
ACGAACGCUGGCGGCAUGCCUAACACCUGCCAGUCGCACGAGACCUUCGGGUCUAGUGGCGCACGGGUGCGUCACGCGUGGGAACCUGCCCUUAGGUUCGGAAUAACUCCCCGAAAGGGGUGCUAAUACCGGAUAAUGUCUUCGGACCAAAGAUUUAUCGCCUUUGGAUGGGCCCGCGUUGGAUUAGCUAGUUGGUAGGGUAAAAGCCUACCAAGGCGACGAUCCAUAGCUGGUCUGAGAGGAUGAUCAGCCACACUGGGACUGAGACACGGCCCAGACUCCUACGGGAGGCAGCAGUGGGGAAUGUUGGACAAUGGGCGAAAGCCUGAUCAAGCAAUGCCGCGUGAGUGAUGAAGGCCUUAGGGUUGUAAAGCUCUUUUACCCGGGAUGAUAAUGACAGUACCGGGAGAAUAAGCUCCGGCUAACUCCGUG